CAGUAGCCGCGGUAAUACAGAGGGUGCAAGCGUUAAUCGGAAUUACUGGGCGUAAAGCGCGCGUAGGUGGUUUGUUAAGUUGGAUGUGAAAUCCCCGGGCUCAACCUGGGAACUGCAUUCAGAACUGACUGACUAGAGUAUGGUAGAGGGUGGUGGAAUUUCCUGUGUAGCGAUGAAAUGCGUAGAUAUAGGAAGGAACACCAGUGGCGAAGGCGACCACCUGGACUAAUACUGACACUGAGGUGCGAAAGCGUGGGGAGCAAACAGGAUUAGAUACCCCCGUAGUCCCUGUCUCUUAUAC
RNAcentral lists this ribosomal RNA (301 nucleotides) under uncultured bacterium. RNAcentral describes it as "partial 16S ribosomal RNA". It matches the Rfam family "Bacterial small subunit ribosomal RNA", at positions 509 to 807 of the family's 1533-position model. The record is from RNAcentral.